Molecule: long non-coding RNA, 1101 nt
Filed under: Bemisia tabaci
Lineage: Eukaryota; Metazoa; Arthropoda; Insecta; Hemiptera; Aleyrodidae
Description: lncRNA ENSASIAIIG004032
Source: RNAcentral
UCUCCGCUUAUCUUCUCGGUUUCUCGCUAGUUUUUCUUCUGUGUUUCGUUUUUGAUUUUUUAGUUCCUAUGUCUUCCAGCUAGUUUUCUUUUUUCUCUUUUUCUAGUCAUUUUCCUUGUUAUUUUCGUUUAUUCUUUUCUAAGUUGUUUUGUUAAUCCAACUCCAUCCCAUGUGGUAAGACAGGCUUUCUAACCUUUAUCUCCUGAUGACAGCUUUGAAAUGACUGAUCCACCAGUAGAUCCAGGGGACUCCCCUGGUAAUAACUCCCAUAUCCAAACUGCUUCUGAUUCUGCAAUCACCGAUCCUUUGGCUAAUUCUACAGCAAGUAGAAGAACGAUUAUUCUUAAGAAUAUUGAUGAUUUACUUUAUCCUGAUAACUCAACUGGCCCUUUUGUUAUCUCCUUAUCGUACGUCGGGUUAGGUAACAAACAUGCCACUCUUAUUGGUGAAGCCCUUUAUAGAUGUAAUAUUGUGGGUAUUAAGUCUAUAAGAAAGAUCAAUAAAAACUUAGUUAACAUCGAAUUCGUUAAACGCGACCAUGCGAAUAAUCUUGUCUCUAAUCAUAAAACUCUUCUCCCGUAUGAAAAUGCGAGGGUUUUCAUUCCCCUAAAUUAUAUUACUCGUAGACUAGUAAUUAAUGACGUACAUACAGACCUCGGCAUCGAAUCUAUAGGCAACUACCUAAAAGAUAAGUAUUCUAAUGUUAUCUCGGUACGACGUAUCUUCCGAAGAAAUGAGAAAGGUGUCUUAGCUCCUACCCCUAAACUUGAACUUUUAUGGGAAGGUACUACCCGUCCUGACUUCUUCUACAUCUUCUAUUCUCGUUGCAAAGCUAGCCCCUACAUCUACAACGUUACAACCUGUUCUAACUGUUUAAAUUAUGGCCAUCGUGCUGAAUUUAAGGGUAUCUUAACUUGUAAAGGUCUUAAACGAUGCCCAAACUGCUCUGAUCAACAUGCUGCGCAUGAUAUUUGCCCUAACGCAACCAAAUGUCUUCAUUGCAAAGGUCCCCACAAGACUUUCGACCCUUCCUGUCCCUCCCUCCUUGAACAGAAAUCUAUUAAAAAAAUUAUGGCCUUUGAAAACCUUAGCUUCCAUGAA